RNAcentral lists this ribosomal RNA (380 nucleotides) under uncultured bacterium. RNAcentral describes it as "bacterial SSU rRNA". It matches the Rfam family "Bacterial small subunit ribosomal RNA", at positions 29 to 436 of the family's 1533-position model. The record is from RNAcentral.
AACGAACGCUGGCGGCAUGCCUAACACAUGCAAGUCGAACGAGACCUUCGGGUCUAGUGGCGCACGGGUGCGUAACGCGUGGGAAUCUGCCCUUUGCUUCGGAAUAACAGUUAGAAAUGACUGCUAAUACCGGAUGAUGUCUUCGGACCAAAGAUUUAUCGGCAAAGGAUGAGCCCGCGUAGGAUUAGGUAGUUGGUGGGGUAAAGGCCUACCAAGCCGACGAUCCUUAGCUGGUCUGAGAGGAUGAUCAGCCACACUGGGACUGAGACACGGCCCAGACUCCUACGGGAGGCCAGCAGUGGGGAAUAUUGGACAAUGGGCGAAAGCCUGAUCCAGCAAUGCCGCGUGAGUGAUGAAGGCCUUCGGUCGUAAACUGCUUU